GUACAUCCCGGUGGUUGGGGGCAGCAACCUCCAUGGACCAGCGACGGGAACCGAUCUUGGGCCAAGGUGGCACAGGGCCGGGCGUGGUAGGCUAUGUGGACAGAUCACAAGAUCUCUAAAGAGGAACUUGAUAAUCUCCAGCGGUACUUCACCAAGUUCUUGAGCUACCGAAGGAGAGGAUUCAGCAUCGUGAUGCAACUGGGAGAAGAUGGCGGUGAUUUGUAGAAGCCUUGGCCUGAGGGUCCCUGCUGAAUGGGUGGCUAA
This 264-nucleotide long non-coding RNA is filed under the name Phoenix dactylifera (date palm). RNAcentral describes it as "long non-coding RNA (PDAC_LNC010808)". The record is from RNAcentral. Lineage: Eukaryota; Viridiplantae; Streptophyta; Magnoliopsida; Arecales; Arecaceae.